UGCUUUGUGCACGGGGUUUAGGAGAAAUCGUCUGCUUUCAGUUUGUCUUACCGGACAAACGAGCAAGUAGUAAACUGCAAGCAGGCUUCAGCGUAUUGAUGUUUUCGGAUAUAGUACAGCUUAUUAUAACCGCUAUAGUAAAACUAUGUCGUCGAACAAAUCGUGAACGGAUGCAUUUGAGUGUUUAAACCAUAGAUGUAUGUGAUUUACACAGCUUUUUUUUCCGGAUGUUUAUUCACAAAGUGUUUUAUUUAUAUUUUUUACUGUUCUUUAUGCUUUUUAACUACCAUUAAACGGAACUCGGCGCUGCUUUAAGAGAAAAAUACAUUCAAUUAUUUCUCUUAAAAGUUCUACGAUGGAGUUUACAGAUGAGGAGAAAAUAUGGCUGCAACAAGUGUCUGCAGAAAUACCUGAAGGAAAUGAGCUUACUCCAAAGGAGAAGAAAUUACAGGAGAAAGCAAAGCCAGACACUGAAAUUCAGGCCCAGCUCUUCCAAACUAUGGCCUCCAUACGAUUUGGAUUGAAUAAUCGAAUAACCUCAACAACAGAGGUGAAAAACUCCGUCCAGCAGAGGAGCAGCGUCUCGUCACAAUGUGGAUAAACAUCAAAUACCAUAAAGACAUGGCAUUUACUUUUUCUUCUUGGUUAUAUAGGUUAUCUGUGAAUGAACUAACCAGAAGCAAAAUGUUCUGUACAGUGAUGUCAAGUGACUUUGGUUCAUCUUUUUCAUGUUCUCACCAGGGUAUUUUGAUGAUUUCUUGGUGUAUGUCAGGUUCAGUUCAUAGCUAGUAAGUACACCAGAGAAUGUAGCGUCAUUGAGUUUUAGUGACCUUAGCUCAUGAUUGUUUCCUCAGCUAUAUAUAAACAGGGGCCUGUUUCAUAAAACGCUUUUACUAAAUAAGCCAGGUUUAUUUCAGGUAGUUUGCCUGCUCUUUUUAUUGUUGCACGAUCUAUGAAAUCAGAAAACAAACCAAGUUGUUAUAGUUUUUUGUUAUUGGUGCUUUUAUCACAAUGUACAUUAAUGCGUUUGAAAUAUUUGCCAUACAAAGUUAUCUAAAAACUCAGUAUGUUUUUGUUUAUCAUGUUUGCUGGGAUGAUAACAUCUCUACCUCAAAUACAGUAACAAACAGUACAAAAAUAUUUUUUGCACACACAUAAUAAAUCAAAUCAUAUGGAACAAUUCAGGAGUUGUAAUUUUCAGAUGUUUUAACACUGUUUAUUUAUAUGAUUAAUAUGAUUCUGUAAAUGGUUUAUAAAAUGCAUUCCACUCCGUUUCCAGUUUUAGCCUAAGCUUUUGAGAGACUUUUACUUUAUUUUAAAAUGAAUAAAAAUGAUCAUGAAUAAACAAAGUGUACUGUUAUUUAUUUUUAUACAAUAUUUCGUAAAAUCAAAGUAUGUUUUCUGCUGUUUGUGUUCAGAAAAUGUCACUUGUUGCUAUUACUCUGACAUCCACAAGGUGGUGUUACUCUGCAAGAUGAAAGACAGCAGACCAAGUCAUAGAGACGGAGACAGCCUGAAGUCUAAUCUUCUCUUCAGUUGACCCCUGGCCCCAAGUGAUAUAUAGCAGAAAGCCGGCCAAACAUUCAAAA
Molecule: long non-coding RNA, 1589 nt
Organism: Puntigrus tetrazona (Sumatra barb)
Lineage: Eukaryota; Metazoa; Chordata; Actinopteri; Cypriniformes; Cyprinidae
Exons: 4
Source: RefSeq, a predicted model, not a curated record